This 631-nucleotide long non-coding RNA is filed under the name Homo sapiens (human). RNAcentral describes it as "HSALNT0318921". Lineage: Eukaryota; Metazoa; Chordata; Mammalia; Primates; Hominidae. The record is from RNAcentral.
GAAUCCAAGGCAGGCCAACAUAUUGAAAUAAUAGCUACAAAACUCCUAACCUUCUUUGGGGGUCAUACACAGCAUACUAUACUUGGGAAUGGCAUUCUGACACAUUUAUUACAUAAUAAUGCUAUUAUAUGUAAUGCUAUUCUGACACAUUUGUUAGGUAACAUUAAUGGCUUUGAGUGGGACUUAGAACAAGAAAAGGCUCUGAAACAGAUCCAAGAUGUUGUUUGAGCCAUGCAACUAGAAGAUCUCAUAGAACUAAAGUUAUCUAAUUUACAGAAAAGGUUUUACGUGACGUCUAUUGUACAGAUUCAUAUGAAAACCAUAGUUCAAACUCCAAGGUUUAAGAAGUAAGAAAGAUCAUGCCAUUUGCAACAAACAUGCAUGCAUAUUUGAAAAGCAACUAUCUGUUGUGGGAAAACUAGAAGACCAAAAAAAGCACGAAAGUCAAGAAAGAAGUCUCUUUUCACAUGAAAGUGGCCUGAAGACAAAUACUGCUAUGAAUGGUUACAUCUAGGACUUCUGAAAUUAGCCCCAGAUUCAACUCAUUUUUUUCUGCAUUUGCUGAGCAAUAUGACAUGUUUACACCGAUUAGCUAAAAAGUUAUGUGAAGAAUGGGCAACAAUAUCUCUAA